CAGUCGCCGCGGUAAAACGUAGGGCGCAAGCGUUGUCCGGAAUUAUUGGGCGUAAAGAGCUCGUAGGCGGUCUGUCGCGUCUGGUGUGAAAUCCCGAGGCUCAACCUCGGGCUUGCAUCGGGUACGGGCAGACUAGAGUGCGGUAGGGGAGACUGGAAUUCCUGGUGUAGCGGUGGAAUGCGCAGAUAUCAGGAGGAACACCGAUGGCGAAGGCAGGUCUCUGGGCCGCAACUGACGCUGAGGAGCGAAAGCAUGGGGAGCGAACAGGAUUAGAUACCCCGGUAGUCCCUGUCUCUUAUAC
This 301-nucleotide ribosomal RNA is filed under the name uncultured bacterium. Its description in RNAcentral is "partial 16S ribosomal RNA". It matches the Rfam family "Bacterial small subunit ribosomal RNA", at positions 509 to 807 of the family's 1533-position model. The record is from RNAcentral.